Molecule: ribosomal RNA, 466 nt
Filed under: uncultured bacterium
Lineage: Bacteria
Description: partial 16S ribosomal RNA
Rfam family: Bacterial small subunit ribosomal RNA
Source: RNAcentral
AACGAACGCUGGCGGUAUGCUUAACACAUGCAAGUCGAACGAACAAAAUUGGGGCUUGCUCCAAUUUUAGUGAGUGGCAAACGGGUGAGUAACACGUGGGAAUCUACCUAUCAGUACGGAAUAACAUUUGGAAACAGAUGCUAAUACCGUAUAUUCUCCAAGGAGGAAAGAUUUAUCGCUGAUAGAUGAGACAGCGCAAGAUUAGGUAGUUGGUAGGGUAAUGGCCUACCAAGCCUACGAUCUUUAGCUGGUCUGAGAGGAUGAUCAGCCACACUGGGACUGAGACACGGCCCAGACUCCUACGGGAGGCAGCAGUGGGGAAUAUUGGACAAUGGGCGAAAGCCUGAUCCAGCAAUACCGCGUGAAUGAUGAAGGCCUUAGGGUUGUAAAGUUCUUUUAGUUGGAAAGAUAAUGACGGUACCAACAGAAAAAGCCCCGGCUAACUCCGUGCCAGCCGCCGCGGUAA